This 97-nucleotide ribosomal RNA is filed under the name uncultured bacterium. RNAcentral's name for it is "partial 16S ribosomal RNA". It matches the Rfam family "Bacterial small subunit ribosomal RNA", at positions 1403 to 1500 of the family's 1533-position model. The record is from RNAcentral.
CAUGAGAGUCGAUAACACCCGAAGCCUGUGAGCUAACCGCAAGGGGGCAGCAGUCGAAGGUGGGGUUGAUGAUUGGGUGAAGUCGUAACAAGGUAAC